Molecule: ribosomal RNA, 464 nt
Filed under: uncultured bacterium
Lineage: Bacteria
Description: bacterial SSU rRNA
Rfam family: Bacterial small subunit ribosomal RNA
Source: RNAcentral
GCCAGACUCCUACGGGAGGCAGCAGUGAGGAAUAUUGGUCAAUGGGCGAGAGCCUGAACCAGCCAAGUCGCGUGAGGGAAGACGGUCCUAUGGAUUGUAAACCUCUUUUGCCGGGGAGCAAAAAGCGGUACGUGUACCGCAUCGAGAGUACCCGGAGAAAAAGCAUCGGCUAACUCCGUGCCAGCAGCCGCGGUAAUACGGAGGAUGCGAGCGUUAUCCGGAUUUAUUGGGUUUAAAGGGUGCGCAGGCGGCGAGUUAAGUCAGCGGUAAAAUUGCGGGGCUCAACCCCGUACUGCCGUUGAAACUGCAUCCCUUGAGUGCGCGAGAAGUAUGCGGAAUGCGCGGUGUAGCGGUGAAAUGCAUAGAUAUCGCGCAGAACUCCGAUUGCGAAGGCAGCAUGCCGGCUCCACACUGACGCUGAGGCACGAAAGCGUGGGUAUCGAACAGGAUUAGAUACCCCUGUA